This is a long non-coding RNA of Piliocolobus tephrosceles (Ugandan red Colobus), 1810 nucleotides long. The record is from Ensembl. NCBI's taxonomy places the organism in Eukaryota, Metazoa, Chordata, Mammalia, Primates, Cercopithecidae.
AUUUAUUUAUCCUACUUAUUUAUUUAUUUAUUUAUUUAAUUAUUUAAUUAUUUAUUUAUUUAAUUAUUUAAUCAUUUAAUCAUUUAAUCAUUUAAUUAAUUAUUUUUUUUUUUUUAGUCUUUUUUAAAUAAUACGAUAGUAAAUCAGUAUAAAAUAAUAUUUUUACAACCAAACUUGGGUAUUUUUUGGUAUAUCAAUUCACUGGUAAUAUAUAUGAGUAUAUAUGAACAUAUAUGCAUGUAUGUGUACAUAUUUAACAUUGUAAAGCAAAACUGGGUACAAUCAUAAUCAUUGUGCACAUACAACGCCUUCUCAACAUAAGUAUACAUACAUAUAUAUACAUACAUACAUAUAUAUAUAUAUAUAUAUGCAUGUACGUAUGUAUGCAUAUGCUGACCGUGUAAUAUUUUAUUCACACAUUUUAUAGAUAUUCAAAGAAUAUUACUACGCAUUUUUGUUCUUUUUUCACGUAAGCCAUUGUUACGUACGCAUAUGUACACACUUGCGUACUUUAAACAGAAAAAAUAAAAAAAAAUAAAGUAAAAUAAUAAUAAAAUAGUAAUAAAAUAAUAAUAAAAUAAACAGACAAAUAACGAAAUAAAUGAAACGAUGUUCAUAUUAUUUUGGAAAAAAAAUUGUAUAUAUAUAUAUAUAUAUAUAUAUAUAUAUAUAUAUGUUUUUUUUUUUUUUUUUUGAUAUAGUUUCACGUAUUUUUUUACCCCAUCCCACUUUUGUUUCGUCUUAUGAAAACCCCACUUAUCUAUUUGCAAAUUAUGGUUGCGAUUACGUUGAUAUUUGAACCUAAUAUAACCAUAAACGACGUUGUGUACUGUUUGCUACUGAUGUCGAUUGAUUAUGAAAAAACGCUGUGCAACGUUCCUUUUGCGAAACUAUUCAUGAUAAUGCUCACUGGUUUAGGCUUGUUUUGUGUUACAACAAAUUUGUGGCUACACAAAAAUACAGCAAAUGCAAAUUAUGUAUAUGCUUACCAGUUGUUAACUUUUAACAUUAUUACUUUUAUUAUAGCUAACACUUUAAAUUUUUACAUUAAAGUACAAACACCCAUAAUGCAGUUGGAAGAAGGAAAAAGUUUUGUUGUGUCGAAAAACAGAAAAAAAUUGAACUUUUUAGAAGCGUUAAAGGAGACUCUUUCAUAAUUUGUUUUUUUACUGCAUGAUGUUAUAUAUAUACAUAUAUAUGUAUACAUUUUUUAUUACGCACUCACGCAAUAAUGCAUAAUGUUAGUUAAUUUUUAUUUUUAUCCUAAAAGUUGUAAUCAAUGUAUGAUUACUCUGUGUUUCUAUAAGUAUAUUGUACCUACAUUUGUACAAAAAUAUCAACAAAAAAAAUACAAGUUUGUAUACUCUUCCACAUUUACAAAAGAAAAAAGAAAAAAAAUUUAUGUUUCAUUUUUUAAUACAAUAGCUAUAAGUUGUGGAAAACAAAGAGUGUCACUCUUUACUUUUAUUUAUUUAUUUAUUUAUUUAUUUUUUUUUAUUUUAUUUUUUAUUUUUUUACAACUCAGUUUAAUUAAAAAAACAAAAGAAAGAAAUUAAUUAUAAUUAAUACAUAUGAACCUGUUUUUUUCAUUUGGACAUAUAUAAAAAAAUAUUUUCUUAUAAAAGGCAUAUAUUUUCCAUAUCAUUUCAAAGCAUAAUAGUUAUGUAAAAAUUGUAUGAGUAAAAUAUAGCUUUUUUUUUUUUUUUUUUUUUUUUUUUUUUUUUUUUUUUCUUGCUCAUGCAUAAAUAGCAUAGCAAUAUUAAUAAUUAUAAUUUUUUUUGUGAAAAAAAUAAAUGGAACGUUCUUAUCA